This is a long non-coding RNA of Pyrus x bretschneideri (Chinese white pear), 1760 nucleotides long. RefSeq lists it as uncharacterized. The record is from RefSeq and is a predicted model, not a curated record. Lineage: Eukaryota; Viridiplantae; Streptophyta; Magnoliopsida; Rosales; Rosaceae. The transcript has 2 exons.
CUCAACAACCAAGCUUACUCUGCCGCCACUGCCAGUUGCAAAGUGGCCAACCAUAGCUUGGAAUCAACUUGAUUGUUGCCUCCAUAUCUUGCACUUGGGAUGCUAACGGCUGAAGGGAAACAUAAGGAACAAAAUUCAUUUCUUUGUACAUCUCUACCAUAUCAUUGCUCUGAAGUCUGAAAUUAUAAGUUUUAUUCAUUUCUUUAUACCGACUGAUGUGAAGGUGAAGCAGAUGAAGAGGGUGGAGUCGGACUGUGUGACGAUGCAGAAGAAGUUUAGCAAGGAUAGGGAUCCGAUGGUGACUGCUUAUGAGGUUAGGGGUAAACCCUCGGCAUUGAAGGUGGAGGAUUGGGACUGGGUUGUGGUGGUUUUCGUCUUGUUGAGAUUUUCAAUAAGAGUAAGUGGAACUCUCAGUUCUAAGGUUUUAAUUGCACUGAGAAAUUGUUAUCUUGGUCAUUGAGAUUGUAGCUUUCUGAAUUUGUUUUAUGUUUUUGAAAGCGCAUUCUAGCUGAUAUGGAUUGUGUUGUUUAUGUAUGUUAUCUUAUGAUGUAGUUAUGGGGUUUUUCAUGCGAUUCGAAGAUGAUAGUGUGGAAUCAGCAAAGAUUGUGAAACCGUGGAAUGUGAAGAUCAUCUCGGUUGGUUGGUAGAAUUUAUUUGAUUUAAUGUGUUACCAGUAAAAGUUCCACUGAAUUAUGCUCGUAGGAAAAACAAAUUAAUUGUCUUAAUUUGCUGCUGCAAUGGGAAAAAAAAAUGUUUCCCUUCAUUUAUGCUUGUAGGAAAAUCAAAAUGAUUCAACUUUCAAGGUCAAUGGUUUGUUAGACCCCUGGAACCAUUAUGCACACAAGUAGUUAAUUAGUUACCCCUUCCUUUGUGCUUUAAUUAUCUUGAUUUGUAUCCCUACAAUGAAAUAUGAUUGUCUGUUUUUACCUGUAAGAAUUUCACUACAUUGAAUACGUAUAUUUACCAAAAUAAAAAAGUACACGGGAGGGGGGGAUUGCUCGUGAAUUUCUAAGAUUGGUCCUGAUUGUAUCAUGGUUUGCACAAAUUGGUUGCCUAUGUGUGAAGCCUACGUACCAAAUAAUUUUCACAUACCGUAUCAUUAUUUAAGAUUUGCAUAGAAAAAAGAGGACACACUUGUUAUUGAAAAGGGAAACUCUCAGAGUGCUUGCCAAGUUUAUUGGGGUUCAACUUGUUAACUUCAUAUUCAAUUGUAUUUCAAGAACACUGUACCUCCCAUUGGUAAGCAGAGCUGCAGUUUUUUCUUUUUCUUUCCCAAAUUAUUUGCCAACCUUGUUUUUGUAACAACUUUAAUUCUUGCACUUGUUGCAGAGGCUUUGAUGUCUGAAUUUGAUGCGGAUAAUAAGGGUGACAAUGGAGAUCUUCACACAACCUACACUAGCAAAGGGAAAGAAGAUGACUCUGAAUCAUUAAUGUGUUACCAAGGACUAAGAGUAGAGCUGCUGCAAUGAGUGACAUAAUUACUCGCAGGGUCGAUGCAGAGGACCAAGAGUAAAGCUGCUGCAAUGAGUGACAUAAUUACUCGCAGGGUCGAUGCAGAGGACUAAGAGUAGAGUUGCUGCAAGGAGUGACAUAAUUACUUGCAAGGUCGAGGGGAGGAAGUUAGUUGUCAAACUAACAAGCCAAUCUGGAGUGACAUAAUUCCUGUAGGAUUAUAGAUGGUAUAAAUGUUUAGGAUAAUGUAUAUAUGUUUAAAUACUAGAAGUGCAAUACAUUCUUCAUUCUCAAAGAAACCAAAUAAA